This is a long non-coding RNA of Numida meleagris (helmeted guineafowl), 185 nucleotides long. RefSeq lists it as uncharacterized. NCBI's taxonomy places the organism in Eukaryota, Metazoa, Chordata, Aves, Galliformes, Numididae. The record is from RefSeq and is a predicted model, not a curated record. The transcript is spliced from 2 exons.
GCUGCUGCUGCUGCGCUGAGCCCCGGAGUGCCCCACUGCAGCGCUGCCCCAUAGCGCCGCAGCCCACGCCGCCCCCCAGACCCGGACCCAUGGACGGACCCCCUGCCUGGCCCCGCCUCUUUAAUUACCGCGACCCAAUCGUUCAGUGUAAUUAGUUAAUUUUUAAUUAAAGCUGUUGUUACUGA